RNAcentral lists this ribosomal RNA (242 nucleotides) under uncultured bacterium. RNAcentral describes it as "partial 16S ribosomal RNA". It matches the Rfam family "Bacterial small subunit ribosomal RNA", at positions 88 to 334 of the family's 1533-position model. The record is from RNAcentral.
GUGACGAGCGGCGGACGGGUGAGUAAUGUCUGGGAAACUGCCCGAUGAGGGGGAUAACUACUGGAAACGGUAGCUAAUACCGCAUAACGUCGCAAGACCAAAGUGGGGGACCUUCGGGCCUCAUGCCAUCAGAUGUGCCCAGAUGGGAUUAGCUAGUAGGUGGGGUAAUGGCUCACCUAGGCGACGAUCCCUAGCUGGUCUGAGAGGACGACCAGCCACACUGGGACUGAGACACGGCCCAG